CCGGAGACAUCUGAAAAGUGUUUCUUGAAGACAAACUGUUUGAACCCAGAGCCCAACUCACGCUCCAACUUCUAUUGAAAUAGGGAAUGUUUGGUCAGUGGUGUAUUUUUAGCCACCAGAUGCUUCUGUCUAUCAGAAGUCAACAGCUGAACGGUGGAGUUUAUCAGGACAUGAGGCAGCCCACCUUAGCCACUGCAUGCGAUGGGUUCUAGGAAACCUGGACCAGACAGCACAUCUCGAUGCAAGGAGGUUGCCGGAGUGGAAGAAUCAAAGGAGCUGACAUCUGCUGAAGGAACAGUCAGGAUGCACCUCUUGAAACUGUUUUUCAAUGAGAGCUAAUGAAGGAGAAACAAGACAACUGCCCCGUGCCAAC
Long non-coding RNA from Tachyglossus aculeatus (Australian echidna), 373 nucleotides. RefSeq lists it as uncharacterized. Lineage: Eukaryota; Metazoa; Chordata; Mammalia; Monotremata; Tachyglossidae. The record is from RefSeq and is a predicted model, not a curated record. The transcript has 3 exons.